UACUACUUGGGGAGUACCUGUAGUCCCAGCUACUCAGGAGUCUGAGGCAGGAGGACUGCUUCAGCCCAGGAGAUCCAGGCCAGCCUGGGAAACAUAGCGAGACCCUGUCUCAA
Molecule: small RNA, 113 nt
Filed under: Marmota monax (woodchuck)
Lineage: Eukaryota; Metazoa; Chordata; Mammalia; Rodentia; Sciuridae
Source: RNAcentral